Molecule: non-coding RNA, 141 nt
Filed under: Canis lupus familiaris (dog)
Lineage: Eukaryota; Metazoa; Chordata; Mammalia; Carnivora; Canidae
Also listed under: 1 other name
Source: RNAcentral
UGGGCAGGCCACACCGGGUUCUGUGCUGUGUGUAGUGCCCUGCAUAGGAAGGUCCUGAUUACCAGUAUGAUGUGUAACAGUGCCUGCCUGGGUAGAGUAAUGCUCCACAAGAACAUCUUUCCAGUGGGCCCUGUGUCUUAA